Molecule: ribosomal RNA, 444 nt
Filed under: uncultured bacterium
Lineage: Bacteria
Description: bacterial SSU rRNA
Rfam family: Bacterial small subunit ribosomal RNA
Source: RNAcentral
CCAGACUCCUACGGGAGGCAGCAGUGGGGAAUAUUGCACAAUGGGGGAAACCCUGAUGCAGCGACGCCGCGUGAGUGAAGAAGUAAUUCGUUAUGUAAAGCUCUAUCAGCAGGGAAGAAAAUGACGGUACCUGAGUAAGAAGCCCCGGCUAACUACGUGCCAGCAGCCGCGGUAAUACGUAGGGGGCAAGCGUUAUCCGGAUUUACUGGGUGUAAAGGGAGCGUAGACGGUUAUGUAAGUCUGGAGUGAAAGCCCGGGGCCCAACCCCGGGACUGCUCUGGAAACUGUCCGGCUGGAGUGCAGGAGAGGUAAGUGGAAUUCCUAGUGUAGCGGUGAAAUGCGUAGAUAUUAGGAGGAACACCAGUGGCGAAGGCGGCUUACUGGACUGUAACUGACGUUGAGGCUCGAAAGCGUGGGGAGCAAACAGGAUUAGAUACCCGAGUA